RNAcentral lists this long non-coding RNA (948 nucleotides) under Piliocolobus tephrosceles (Ugandan red Colobus). Its description in RNAcentral is "lncRNA (ENSPTEG00000014768.1)". The record is from RNAcentral. Lineage: Eukaryota; Metazoa; Chordata; Mammalia; Primates; Cercopithecidae.
AAAAAUAAAAAUAAAAUAAAAAUGUGGAUAAAACAUAAUGAAAUAAAAUAAAUAGAACGCAGUAUAAUAAAACAGAACGAAAUUUGUUUUUUUUUAAUUACCAAUUUCAUAGAAAAAAAAAAAAAAAUGGAAUGUUUUACAAUCUUUUUUUGUUUUUUUUUUGUAUGUUAAUUUUUAAAUGUGUUCAAGUUUGCUUUCUUAUUUUUUAUUUUUCAUUUUUUUUUUUUUGUUAAUAAAUUUGUUAUUAAACGAAGGUUUGUAGUCUGUAUGCACACAUACGUACGUACGUGCAUACUUACAUGCUAUAUGCAACAUAAAUAUAUAUAUAUAUAUAUUUACGUACGGUUACAUUUCUCUCCGUUUUUGUGUGUACUCAUGUUAAACCUUACGUUUUGACAACAUAUUUGUUUUUAGUUAGUAAAACGUAUCUUCAUGAGUGAAUCCAUAAUUGUUUUAUACCACUCAUAAUUUUUUAAAAGAAAAAACUAUAAAAAAAAAAAUCAAAAUUUAAAUAAUAUUUUAGAUUUUAAAAGCAUAAAUGACUUACAAGAAAAUGCACAUAUAAAGACAACCAAAGACUUUGUUCUUUAUGUGUAUGCAAAAUGGGAUAACGAUUCGAAUAAUUUAAUAGCCGUUUUUAGAGAAGUAGAAAGAAUAAUAAAAGAAAAGAACUUAAAGUUAGAUUUUUAUAUAUUUAACAUAGAAAAUGCUAAAGAUUUAUGUAAUGCAUUAAACAUCACGUCACUCCCCUUGAUACUAUAUAUCUCUUCGGGGCAUAAAAAAAAAAAAAAUUCAUUAUUUCAGAGGAUUUUUAGUUCCAGUAAAGAUGUGAAAAUAAACAAUGCCUUUAGGUAAAACGAUAAGAAAAAAAUAUCAUAAAUAAUUAGCAAUAAUUAACAAUAAUUAGCAAUAAUUAGCAAAAUUUUUAUGAAUAAAAUUACCACAAUU